Arabidopsis thaliana (thale cress) is the source of this 458-nucleotide long non-coding RNA. RefSeq annotates it as other RNA. The record is from RefSeq. Lineage: Eukaryota; Viridiplantae; Streptophyta; Magnoliopsida; Brassicales; Brassicaceae. The transcript has a single exon.
UUAUAAGGUUUGCUCCUGGAUAGCUUUAUUUUCUUUAUUGGAACUCAAUUUAAAGACCUGACUUAAUUACCAACCCCAACCAUGUGUUUUAGAGUUCGCACAGCUUUUUAUGAUGCUUUUGUCAAGAUUAUUCUAUUGUGUAUCCUGUUCUUUACGUAUAUGUUCAUGCAGAGAUCUUCGUACUUUUUUGAGUCAGGCCAUGUGGCUUACUUUUUCAUGCAAAAAGCUUCCCCGGUUUUGUCUUUAAACUCUUACACUUUCGUGAAAAGAUAAUUCACUUUAGCCUGUUUGCUUUAGCUACUACCUUCUUAAAAGCAACAAUGUUAUUUUUACAGGGUCUUUCAGAUUUUCUCUUUGUCUUCUGCUUGAUGCUUGCUGGUGAGUGAAACGAUGAACUCAAAGAACAUAAACGGCGAGUGGUGUGGCCACCUCUCUUAGGUUCUGAGGUUUGUUGGUGC